Molecule: ribosomal RNA, 451 nt
Filed under: uncultured Pelagibacterales bacterium
Lineage: Bacteria; Pseudomonadati; Pseudomonadota; Alphaproteobacteria; Candidatus Pelagibacterales
Description: bacterial SSU rRNA
Rfam family: Bacterial small subunit ribosomal RNA
Source: RNAcentral
AGUGGGUAGUCGCACGAGCGCACCUUAUUUUAGUUGCCAUCAUUUAGUUGGGCACUCUGAAAGAACUGCCAGUGAUAAGCUGGAGGAAGGUGGGGAUGACGUCAAGUCCUCAUGGCCCUUACGUGUUGGGCUACACACGUGCUACAAUGGUAUCUACAACAGGAAGCAAAACAGCGAUGUUAAGCAAAUCCCGAAAAGAUACUUCAGUUCGGAUUGCACUCUGCAACUCGAGUGCAUGAAGCUGGAAUUACUAGUAAUCGUGGAUCAGCGUGCCACGGUGAAUACGUUCCCGGGCCUUGUACACACCGCCCGUCACACCACGGGAGCCGACAAGGGCAGAAGUCGCCGAGCUAACCUUCGGGAAGCAGGCGCCCAAGCUGUUGUUGACGACUGGGGUGAAGACGUAACAAGGUAGCCGUAGGAGAACCUGCGGCUGGAUCACCUCCUUUCU